RNAcentral lists this ribosomal RNA (270 nucleotides) under uncultured prokaryote. RNAcentral's name for it is "partial 16S ribosomal RNA". It matches the Rfam family "Bacterial small subunit ribosomal RNA", at positions 524 to 794 of the family's 1533-position model. The record is from RNAcentral.
CACGUAGGAGGCAAACGUUAUCCGGAUUUACUGGGCGUAAAGCGCGUGUAGGUGGUUCUGUAAGUAGGGCGUGAAAGCUCCCGGCUCAACUGGGAGAUGCCGUUCUAAACUGCAGAGCUAGAGGAUGGUAGAGGGAGGUGGAAUUCCAGGUGUAGUGGUGAAAUGCGCAGAUAUCUGGAGGAACACUAGUGGCGAAGGCGGCCUCCUGGACCAUUCCUGACACUCAGACGCGAAAGCUAGGGUAGCAAAUGGAAUUAGAUACCCGGUAGU